GGGCGGUCCACCAUUGGCUGGCACUGCUCUGGCUGGGGUUCACCUUCUGGUGAGCCUGCAUGCCCUUCACUGGGUGUGUAGGGGAACCAGGACUUUUACUUUGAAAAAAUUAGAGUGUUUAAAGCAGGCCUAUGCUUGAAUACAUUAGCAUGGAAUAAUAGAAUAGGACCUCGGUUCUAUUUUGUUGGUUUCUAGGACCGAAGUAAUGAUUAAUAGGGAUAGUUGGGGGCAUUAGUAUUUAGUAGCUAGAGGUGAAAUUCUUGGAUUUAUGAAAGACUAACUUCUGCGAAAGCAUUUGCCAAGGAUGUUUUCAUUAAUCAAGAACGAAAGUUAGGGGAUCGAAGACGAUCAGAUACCGUCGUAGUCUUAACCAUAAACUAUGCCGACUAGGGAUCAGACGAUGUUAAUUUACUGACUCGUUUGGCACCUUAUGAGAAAUCAAAGUUUUUGGGUUCCGGGGGGAGUAUGGUCGCAAGGCUGAAACUUAAAGGAAUUGACGGAAGGGCACCACCAGGAGUGGAGCCUGCGGCUUAAUUUGACUCAACACGGGGAAACUCACCAGGUCCAGACAUAGUAAGGAUUGACAGAUUGAGAGCUCUUUCUUGAUUCUAUGGGUGGUGGUGCAUGGCCGUUCUUAGUUGGUGGAGUGAUUUGUCUGCUUAAUUGCGUUAACGAACGAGACCUUAACCUGCUAAAUAGUUAUGCCAACGAAUGUUGGUAGCCAACUUCUUAGAGGGACUGUCGGCGAUUAGCCGACGGAAGUUUUAGGCAAUAACAGGUCUGUUAUGCCCUUAGAUGUCCUGGGCCGCACGCGCGCUACACUGAUGAAGUCAACGA
RNAcentral lists this ribosomal RNA (837 nucleotides) under Mucoromycotina sp. RNAcentral describes it as "SSU rRNA". It matches the Rfam family "Eukaryotic small subunit ribosomal RNA", at positions 657 to 1518 of the family's 1831-position model. The record is from RNAcentral. Lineage: Eukaryota; Fungi; Mucoromycota.